RNAcentral lists this long non-coding RNA (1389 nucleotides) under Anas platyrhynchos platyrhynchos (common mallard). RNAcentral's name for it is "lncRNA (ENSAPLG00000029395.1)". The record is from RNAcentral. Lineage: Eukaryota; Metazoa; Chordata; Aves; Anseriformes; Anatidae.
AGCUUGGACUGGGAGAACUGGGAGCACUGGGAGCAGGGGGCUGAGGGGACGGGGACUGGGAGCGGGGACUGGGAGCGCUGGGAACAGGAAGCGGUGUUGCUGGGAAGAGGAAUGGGGAGACUGGAAGCAGGCACUGGGAGGUACUGGGAGCACUGGGGGUGAGGGACGGGGUUACUGGGAGCAGGGACUGGGGGAGCACGGGGGGCUGGGACUGGGAGUACGGGACUGGGGGUACUGGGGGUACUGGGCGCAGGGACCGGGGGUGGAGGCUCGAGAGGGAGCUGCAGGGAGGCACUGGGAGCACUGGGGGGCAGCACUGGGAGCUCCGGAGGAUAGCACUGGGAUGCUAUGGGACGGCACUGGGAGCACUGGAGAUAGCACUGGUCACCAUGGGAUGCUGUGGGACGGCACUGGGUGGCGCUGGGGUGCUGUGGGACUGCACUGAGAGAGCACUAGUCAUACUGGGAGCUGUGGGACAGCACAGGAUGGGAGUACUGGGAGCACUGGGAUGCUAUGGGACAGCACUGGGAGCACCACUGGGAUGCUUUGGGACAGCACUGGGAGCACCACUGGGAUACUAUGGGACAGCACUGGGAGCACCACUGGGAUGCUAUGGGGCAGCACUGGAAGCACUGGAACACUACUGGGAUGCUGUGGGACAGCACUGGGAGCACCACUGGGAUGCUAUGGGACUUCACUGGGAGCACUGGGAUGCUAUGGGGCAGCACUGGGAGCACUGGGAGCACAACUGGGAUGCAAUGGGGCAGCACUGGGAGCACCACUGGGAUGCUGUGGGGCAGCCAGUGGGUGCUGAGGGCCCCCCCUCUCGCCCAGGCCCCCCCCCCCCGCCAUGCCCGUGCCGUGGGGCUGACCACGCCGUGGGUCGGAGCCGUGGGUCGGAGCCGUGGGGCGCCCCAUGCUCCCGCGGGCGCUGCGGGCGCUGCUGGAGGGGGCCCGGCCCCCCCUGGGCCAGGAGCCGGGGGUGGUGCUCAGCUCCUACCGGCCCUGCCCCCCCGACGAGGACCCCCCCCCAGGCGGAGGUGCGCGAGGACGACGCCGUCUUCACCCUGGCCCCCCGGCCCGGGGCGCCCCCCGCCCGCCUGCUGCGCGCCGCCCCCCUGCCCCGCCUGGUGCGGCACCUGCUGGAGGCCCCCGCCCGCGGGGACGGAGCCUUCGUCCCCACCUUCCUCGCCACCUUCCGUGCCUUCACCCAGCCCCACGACGUCCUGCGCCUGCUGCUCGCCAGGUGGGGGCGCGGGGACGUUUGGGGGGGGACUUGGGGACGUUGUGGGGGGGGCUUGGGGAUGUUGGGGGGGUUCUUUGGGAUAUUUUGUGGGUGCUUGGGGACAUCACAUGGGGACUUGGGGACGUUACAUGGGGGCUUGGGGA